This 71-nucleotide transfer RNA is filed under the name Anolis barkeri (Barker's anole). RNAcentral describes it as "tRNA-Tyr". The record is from RNAcentral. Lineage: Eukaryota; Metazoa; Chordata; Lepidosauria; Squamata; Anolidae.
UGAUAAAGAAAGGAAUUAAACCAAUGUAAACGGGACUACAGACCGCCGCCUUUCAUUCGGCCACUUUACCU